AGAGUUUGAUCAUGGCUCAGAUUGAACGCUGGCGGCAUGCCUUACACAUGCAAGUCGAACGGUAACGCGGGGCAACCUGGCGACGAGUGGCGAACGGGUGAGUAAUGCAUCGGAACGUGCCCAGUAGUGGGGGAUAGCCCGGCGAAAGCCGGAUUAAUACCGCAUACGACCUACGGGUGAAAGCGGGGGACCGUAAGGCCUCGCGCUAUUGGAGCGGCCGAUGUCAGAUUAGCUUGUUGGUGAGGUAAUGGCUCACCAAGGCAAAGACGGGUAGCUGGUCUGAGAGGAUGAUCAGCCACACUGGUACUGGAACACGGACCAGACUCCUACGGGAGGCAGCAGUGGGGAAUCUUGGUCAAUGGGCGCAAGCCUGAACCAGCGACGCCGCGUGAGUGAUGAAGGCCUUCGGGUUGUAAAGCUCUGUGGGGAGGGACGAAAGACUGGAGUGCGAAUAGUGCUCUGGGUUGACGGUACCUCCUUAGCAAGCACCGGCUAACUCUGUGCCAGCAGCCGCGGUAAGACAGAGGGUGCAAACGUUGCUCGGAAUUACUGGGCGUAAAGCGCGUGUAGGCGGGCUUUCAAGUCAGAUGUGAAAUCCCUGGGCUCAACCCAGGAACUGCAUUUGAAACUGAGAGUCUUGAGUAUCGGAGAGGAAAGCGGAAUUCCUGGUGUAGAGGUGAAAUUCGUAGAUAUCAGGAGGAACACCGGCGGCGAAGGC
RNAcentral lists this ribosomal RNA (718 nucleotides) under uncultured bacterium. Its description in RNAcentral is "bacterial SSU rRNA". It matches the Rfam family "Bacterial small subunit ribosomal RNA", at positions 8 to 722 of the family's 1533-position model. The record is from RNAcentral.